This 1611-nucleotide long non-coding RNA is filed under the name Canis lupus familiaris (dog). Its description in RNAcentral is "lncRNA (ENSCAFG00040016470.1)". The record is from RNAcentral. Lineage: Eukaryota; Metazoa; Chordata; Mammalia; Carnivora; Canidae.
AUGGACUGCAAGCAAGCACGCCCUCUCCAGACCAGAGCCUGCCCGGGAGGAACCCCGGCAGCUAAGAGCAAGCAGCUGCAGCAGCUGCAACAGCUGCAACAGCUGCCGGGGCUGGCGCACCCCGGCCCGUCGAAGGGCGAGGGGACCGCAUGGCAGUCACCACCGCACUGCACAAAAGGCAGCCCCUAUCUAGGAGGCGCUGGGGCCUGGCGCGGUCCGCGGAGCUCGGGGCGCAGGAGCGCGGGGGCGGGGGGGUGGGGGGUGGGCGAGCUCCGCCUGCAGGGGGCCGGGGGCGCGCCCAGGUGCAGCGGGGAGGGAGGGGGGUGGUGGUGGGAGGAGGAGGGCUCCGCCACGCGCCUAGGAAGAAAGCCUGACUCAUGUCGUGUCGUGGCGGUGGCGGCGGGCUCCUGGGAACUGCAACUCGUGAUGCUGUUGCUGCGGAGAAAAGCCUCAUUACCCAUUCCGCGGGCGGGCAAGGGCGGGGGGGGGGCGGACACCCACCCCCUCCCCGGGGCGCGCACUCCCGGGCCCCGCCCCGCCCCCUCCCCCUCCCCUGCCGCGCGCCCGCCCGCGCCCGCUCCCGCGCCCGCGCACGCGCACCGGCCGCGAGCGAGAACAGAGCGGACACACCUAACCUGCGCGCGCGCGCCCCGCGCCCCGCCCCCACUCGGGCCGAGCCGCGCAGCCCGACCCGGAUCCGCUCCCCCGCCCGAAGCGCCCCUCCCCUCCCUUCCCCUCCCCUCCCCUCUCUCCGCGGCCUCGGCGCCUCCGCCAGCCUUCGGCAAUUUCCGGCGCUCGGCGAGGCCCGAGGCCCCGCCGCCGCCUCCUCCGCCGGACCCGGCUUUCUGUCUGCGGCGCCGGGGCGCAUGCGCAGACGCCAUCUUCCUCCGUCUCCUUCGCCUGCCCCCUCCCCCUCCCCCCUGCCGCCGCCGCCGCCGCCUCCUCCUCCUCUCGCCGGCGGUCGCCCCUCCUCCUCCUCGUCCUCCUCCUCCUCCUGCGCUCGGGCGCUGGUCCCUCCUCUCCCGCUGCCGCGAGAGACUGGGGGACGCGGCGGAGCCGGAGGAGAGCACUAGUAACAACCACCACGGCCCCCUCCCCGCCCGCCCGCCCUCCGCACCCACCCACUCGCCGACACCGGCCAACCCCACCUCCCGUUCCUUUGAACGGCGUCGGCUGCAGUCGCUUGCACCAGCCCGUCUGGCCCCCAGCGCCGCCGAGGAAGGAGCCGCCCGCGAGGACGAGGACGAGGACGGGGACGAGGACGAGGAGCCGAGCGGCUCGCAGCCCGCCGCCGCCCCCCGGGGAGGCCCGGGCGCCGGCCCCUUCCUCCCCGAGGACGCGUGCCGAGCCGAGGCGCCUGCCCCGAGGGAGGAAAAUGCUCGGGCUCCAUGGCUGCCAGUGAUGGAGCGGUCCCUGCGCUCCCGCCGCCGCCGCCGCCGCGCCCCGGCCGUGCUCCGCGAGGACCCGGCGUCCCUGCGCGCCCGCCCGCGCCCCGUUGCUGGGCUCACCGUACCGGGCGCCCCGCCGCCCCGCUCCGAGCCUCGCCGCCCCGGCCCCGGCCGCGGCCAGCGUCUGCUCACGGAACAGCCGCCGCGAGCCCAGGGGGUUUGA